This 304-nucleotide ribosomal RNA is filed under the name uncultured bacterium. RNAcentral's name for it is "partial 16S ribosomal RNA". It matches the Rfam family "Bacterial small subunit ribosomal RNA", at positions 509 to 807 of the family's 1533-position model. The record is from RNAcentral.
CAGCAGCCGCCACGGUAAUACGGAGGGUGCAAGCGUUAAUCGGAAUUACUGGGCGUAAAGCGCACGCAGGCGGUCUGACAAGUCAGAUGUGAAAUCCCCGGGCUUAACCUGGGAACUGCAUUUGAAACUGUCAGGCUGGAGUCUUGUAGAGGGGGGUGGAAUUCCAGGUGUAGCGGUGAAAUGCGUAGAGAUCUGGAGGAAUACCGGUGGCGAAGGCGGCCCCCUGGACAAAGACUGACGCUCAGGUGCGAAAGCGUGGGGAGCAAACAGGAUUAGAUACCCGAGUAGUCCCUGUCUCUUAUAC